GAUGAACGCUGGCGGCGUGCUUAACACAUGCAAGUCGAACGGAAAGGCUCCUGCUUGCAGGGGUACUCGAGUGGCGAACGGGUGAGUAACACGUGGGUGAUCUGCCCUGCACUUCGGGAUAAGCCUGGGAAACUGGGUCUAAUACCGGAUAGGACGAUGGCUUGGAUGCCAUUGUGGAAAGUUUUUCGGUGUGGGAUGAGCUCGCGGCCUAUCAGCUUGUUGGUGGGGUAAUGGCCUACCAAGGCGGCGACGGGGAGCCGGCCUGAGAGGGUGUACGGCCACAUUGGGACUGGGAUACGGCCCAGACUCCUACGGGAGGCAGCAGUGGGGAAUAUUGCACAAUGGGCGCAAGCCUGAUGCAGCGACGCCGCGUGGGGGAUGACGGCCUUCGGGUUGUAAACUCCUUUCGCUAGGGACGAAGCGCAAGUGACGGUACCUGGAGAAGAAGCACCGGCUAACUACGUG
Molecule: ribosomal RNA, 465 nt
Filed under: uncultured bacterium
Lineage: Bacteria
Description: partial 16S ribosomal RNA
Rfam family: Bacterial small subunit ribosomal RNA
Source: RNAcentral